This is a non-coding RNA of Camelina sativa (false flax), 2923 nucleotides long. NCBI's taxonomy places the organism in Eukaryota, Viridiplantae, Streptophyta, Magnoliopsida, Brassicales, Brassicaceae. The record is from RefSeq and is a predicted model, not a curated record.
ACCAACUUAAAAUUAGGGUUUUAUCUUAUCCAUUUCUCUCUUCUUCAGAGUUUUAAGACAAAAAAAAAAAAAUGCUCAAAGAAGAUUCCAUGACGGAACGUUCAAUCCCUCUUCCUUCUCUCCUCCACUCCGGCUUAAACCUUCUUUUCUUCCCAGAGGGUUUUAUUAAUUAACAGCUCCUUUCAAUUUCUCUUUAUAAAACCUAUUCAAAUGCCGCAGAUUACUACUACAACUUGCUUCUCUACGCCCACUGCUACUUUCUCAGCGUAUUUGUACCAUAACCGUAUCCCUAAUUUGGUACCGUCGGUUCGAUUCUCAAUUGAAGAUAGUGGAACCCGAGCUUGGGUUAGACGAACCGGUACAAGAUCCAAAUGGUUCAAUUCGAGCUCCUUACGGAGAAAGAUUCUCCGACUAAGUCCACCAGAACGAAUCGUAGAUCUAACGGCGGUGGUGGAGGAGGAUUGGUUCGUAAUCCAGAUUUGUUGAAAAUUCCAGGAGUUGGUCCAAGGAAUCAGAGAAAGCUCGUUGAAAAUGGAAUCCAAGGUGUUGCUGAGCUCAAGCAGUUAUACAAAGAUAAGUUUUGGGAAGCUAGUCAGAAAAUGGUUGAGUAUCUUCAAAGCUCAGUUGGGAUUAAGCAUCGGAACCACGCCGAGAGCAUAACAACGUUCAUCAAACAAAGCGUGGACGAAGAAGAACUCAAGGAUUCUUCUGAGACUAAUAAUAAUAAGCCUAAGAAACGUUUGACGUUCUGUGUUGAAGGGAACAUUAGUGUUGGCAAGACAACGUUUCUACAGAGGAUAGCCAAUGAGACCAUUGAGCUUCGUGACUUGGUUGAGAUUGUUCCUGAACCCAUUGACAAAUGGCAGGAUGUUGGACCUGAUCAUUUCAAUAUCUUAGAUGCUUUCUACGCUGAGCCUGAGAGGUAUGCUUAUACUUUCCAGAACUAUGUGUUUGUCACUCGCCUGAUGCAGGAGAAAGAAUCUUCCUCUGGUGUCAAACCUCUUAGGUUGAUGGAGCGUUCUGUGUUUAGUGACCGAAUGGUUUUCGUGCGAGCUGUUCAUGAAGCCAAAUGGAUGAAUGAGAUGGAGAUUAGCAUUUACGAUUCUUGGUUCGAUCCUGUGGUUUCUUGUUUACCAGGACUUGUUCCUGAUGGGUUUAUCUACUUGAGGGCCAGUCCUGACACUUGUCACAAGCGGAUGAUGUUAAGGAAACGAGAGGAAGAAGGUGGGGUGUCGUUAAAGUAUCUCCAGGACCUGGAGAUUGGUUUUAUGAAUCUCAGUAGUGAGAUGGAGCUGAUUCAGCUAAAAUUUGAAAAUGUCAAAAAUACCUGAAGAAAACCAAAGAAUUACAUCAACCCAGAAAUUUCCUAUUUACAUAUUUCUUCUUCUUCGGCUUGGACGAAGCUCUCUCUCAAGAGCUGAGCUCUUUUCUCUCUCUCAGCUUCAACGAAGCUUUGAUCUCUCAGAAUCUCUUCAUCGUUUCAUUGUCUCUCUCGUUCAUCUCUCAUCGCUUCAUCGCUUCAUCGCUUCAUCGUUUUGCUGGUGGGUUUGAAUAAUUAGAAGUAUUUGUACUGCUAUAACUAGUUUAUGUAGUGAAUACAUCAGUGAGUUGAGUACCACAGCCGUCUAAAAAUAGUUCUGGGGAUAAAUUUAUAUCAAAGAUGCCUUUCAAAGAUGCUGCAUAUAUAGGUCACAAUAGUAUGGACGUUGGGUUUGAUUUCGCUGUUGCACCUGCUUCCACCAGUCUUCACCUUGAAAAUUGGGCGCAAUGUGAUAGUUGUGAGACAUGGCGACUACUGCCCCUUGGCCUGAAUACUGAGAAGCUGCCUGAUAAGUGGCUGUGUAGCAUGCAAACGUGGCUGCCUGGAAUGAACCACUGUGGUGUCAGCGAGGAAGAGACAACAAAGGCUAUUAUACCCUGUCAUGCUAGUGAGGCUCAUGGUCCUGAAAAUGGUGUCAAACUCCUCUCUGGUGCUAGUAAUGCUGGUAAAAGCUACCAACCAUUAACUUCUGGUUCAUUGCCAAAUCCAGUUGAAAAGAAGUCUAACAUGAAAGACUUUUCUCAAGGACUUCCAAGCAAUAUCUUGGUUGAUGCUGCAACACCUAUGAAAAGUAGCCCACAUGUUCUUAAAAUAAAAAACUUGAAGCUGUCAGGAGAAACGCCUAAUGCUACUCAGAUAUCCACUGACUUUGGUGUGUCGCAUGAUUUUGUUCAGGAUAAGGUUGACCAGAAAGCAAAGUGGCGAUGAGCAGGUACUGAUUGUCAGAUAAAGACCAAGAAGAAAAAGGAGGGUGACAAACAAGAAAGUGAUGGUUCCAAGCAUAUCACGACUGGUGUUGGAAACAAACUCGCCAGAGGUAUGAAAGUAGAAGAAAUACAUUGGAAUCAAGAUCCGGAAUGGACUCCAGCAGAGAGAAAAACAAAGCGUCCUGACAAUGAUUUUCACACUUUGGAUAUAGAGCGAGACACAAAGAAAAGAUUACUCGCAUCUAAAAGCAAACCUGAUCACAAACGUCAUCUACCAACUGCUAGUGAUGAAAAUAAGAUUUCAGUCCAGGAAUCUAAAGCAUGCCAAAGAAAUGAAUUGUUUCAGGCUGGUGGCUCUCAUGAAUCUGAAACAUGUUCUGAAAACUUGAGAGCAUGAUCUUUCUAUUGAUAUAAAGAUAGUCUUCUGGGUCCAUUUGGUUUGAUGGGAAAUUGCUUCCAAAGUUGACUGUUCGCAGGGUUGUGUCAUUCGGGUUAUGUGUUGGGAAUUUGGUCAUAACUUUAAAAACCGUGAGUCAAAAUCAAGAUCUGUUUUUUUCUGUGGCUUUGUAUGUCUGUUGUGAAUCUUUCCAUCAAGUUUCAUAAUUUUCUAGGUUGUUUUGGCACUCUGUUUGUCGUCUGCAUCACGACAGACGAAUUUAGUAGCUUUAUGGCUUCA